CUAGUUUAGGGAAUUAGAAGGUACCAUUGGACAAAUUUUGACAUCUCCUGAAGGUGCUGAUAUAUCUAGUGAAGUUGAAUAAAUGAUGUGUUCAUAGUCAAUUUGCUCCAUAAACCAAGAUGGUAUCUUAAUGGGUAUAUUCCCUUAGAACAACUCUGAUUUUUGCAUAACACCUUUAGAAUCGUAGCUAUAGAUAAUCAUUUAUCUCCAGAUUGAUUGUGACAAAUCAGUUUGUAUUUUCUUUAUUAAGUUUAUGAUUUCUAGAAGUAAUAUAUUUAAAAGAAGAAAUAAACCAAUGCAGCAUGUCAUCCUCUCCUGCUACAUCUACAGUCGAAAGAAAAUAUUUUGCAAAAAUCCAAGAGUACAAAGCAGAAUUUCAUCAGCUAGUCAUUCUUGUUUAUCAACUAAUUGGUGUUUGUGUAAUACAGUUAAGUUAGCUGUUUAAUGUGUCACUAUUUAUCUUUUGUUAUGUUAAUCUUAAGUCUGUUUAAAUGUAGUUCACAAAUGAAAUUCAUCCAGAAAUUAUAAGUGAUAUUUUAUUAUGGUGCGCAAUAUAUGCUAAUCAAACAGUGUUGUUUUAUUAACAAAUAAACAAAGAAGUAUUGUAGUUUUCAGGAAUGUAUAUAAUGUUACAGUAAAAUUAAUGGGGAAAAAAUUGUUAAAAUUCAUAAUUCUUUUUUGGCUUUGAACAAAUUUGAUAAUGUUGAAAUUUCCAAUUUCUUAUUAUAGUUAUUUAAAACAAGAACAUAUUUAUUAAGAUUAACACUUGACCAAAAGAAAAAAAUUUGCAUUUUUUGUGGAAUUUUCUUGGAUAGAAAAAUUUUGAAAUCAAUAAUGCAAGAACAUUAAAAAAGAAAUUGCAUCUUUUAUAUGAUAAAAGCUAAAAUAUUAAAAAACUUCUUCGAUAUUUAAAAGGUUUGAUUUAGAUACAUCAUACACAUAAAUAUGAAAACUUUGUAGCCAAAUUAGAAUUAGAUCAUUCGUAGUUAAUUCUUUGAGAUACGUCAUCAGGAGCAGCGUAAAGAAAUGCAUUUUAUGUUUGUGUUUCUUUCGAGAUCUGAUCUUGAGUUUCUGUAACAAAGAACUGCUCUUGCUGACUUGUCUCUAUGCAUAAUUUAAAAAGUAAACAAGAAAAAAAAUAUAUAUAUACUUAUUUAUUAGCAAAUUUUAAAACUGUUUUUAAGUUUCAAAAAUUAAAAUGUUAUCAUGCUGAUUAGUUUAAAUAUUAUCAAUACAUAAAUAUAUUUAGGAUGCUUGCCGAUAAGUUUAAUCUAUUUAUUAUUGUUAAAAUAAUAAUGUUCAUUUCAGAAUACGCAAUAAUAAUGUUCAUUAAUUUUAGAAGAUUAUAAUAGUUGUAAAUUGUUAUUGUUAAUACUUUUUCUUCUGGAAUUUAUAUUAAAUUACAUUUUAUCAUCAGUAAUUAACACAUUAUAAUUAAAAUGUAUUAUAACAAUUUGACUCCCGAGUAACUUCCAAUUAAUUAUAAUCCUUAGGAGAGAAAAUAACAAUAAUAAAAUAACAAUAGAGUUGUUUAGAAAGUAGUAUUUUAAUAAUAAUAUAGAGAGGAACAAUUGUGUUUGUGAUUUGUCUUACGAUACAGUAGAGUAUGGUGUAGAUAUAAUUUUUCCUAUAAUCAAUAACCUCUUUAGAUCGAUAUCACUUUGAUAUUUAUUUAGUACAGACUUUUACAUACCUUUGUCCUGUUUUUGGUAGUAUAGAGUUACAUUACUUAAUGCAUUUUCAUGCUUUAUCGAAAGUUACUUGCUACUGUUAAGAGAUCUCAUUAAGAAAUGAAUGCAAUCUCAUUUAAAAUAAUUUUUGCAACAGACUGCCAAUUUAUAUAAGCACCGAUUAUUCAAUAAUCAAAAAAAAA
Centruroides sculpturatus (bark scorpion) is the source of this 1873-nucleotide long non-coding RNA. RefSeq lists it as uncharacterized. The record is from RefSeq and is a predicted model, not a curated record. NCBI's taxonomy places the organism in Eukaryota, Metazoa, Arthropoda, Arachnida, Scorpiones, Buthidae. The transcript is spliced from 2 exons.